Molecule: long non-coding RNA, 1147 nt
Filed under: Gossypium barbadense (sea-island cotton)
Lineage: Eukaryota; Viridiplantae; Streptophyta; Magnoliopsida; Malvales; Malvaceae
Description: long non-coding RNA (GBAR_LNC009260)
Source: RNAcentral
GAAAAGAACAAAGUUUUGUCCAUCUUUGUUCAUCAUAGCCGAAAGUUAGAGAAGAGAAAUGAGAGGAGAAAGCUCUUGAGUAUUCGGUCACUAGGAGGAGGAAAAUUGAAGGCGGUUCGUGUGUGGAUCUCGUCAGCAUAUCGUCACAAAUAGGUGUGUAACUAACACCCUCUUAUAGACUAGAUUGGCACAAGCUGAAAAGUCGAAAUGCCGAAAAGACGGUAUUUUGAGAUCUUGCGAGUGCGUGAAUGCUCAUGAGAUUAAUAGUUUGAUGUAUAUGGUAAAUUAAAGUGAUAAGACUGCAGAGUGCGCGAUUCUGUGCAUUUCGAUAUUUUUGGGCUUAAUGGGCCAAAAACGGGAUAAUGGGCCAACGGGCCCAAAUUGGUAAGAAAACGUGGUAAGUGUUUCUGAUCGUACGUAAAUGGCUAUGUUAUGUAUGAAAACCUUAAGAAUAGUUAAAUUACUUGAAUACCCCUAUGUAUGCAAAAUUACCAUUAUACCUUUAGGGUUACUUUUGACUGAAAAGCAUGACGACUGAUUCUGUAUGAUGUAUGCCAUGAUUAUAUAUCUGUUGCAUGGGGACUUGGGUUAUACUAUGGAGGAAGCGUCCUGGUGGUUAUGCCACAAUUAUCUGAUCUGGUGGCUCUACCACAUAUAUCUGUCCUGGUGGCUAUGCCACAAUUAUCUGAUCUGGUGGCUCUGCCACAUAUAUCUGUUCUGGUGGCUCUGCCACAAUAUCUGUAUCUGGUGACUUCGUCACAAUAUCUGGCAGCCUCACUACGAUUUCUGUGGUGUGUAGCGGUUGGGUGGGUCGAGUAGUCUCCCCACAUGGUGUAAGGCUGGUACGGAGGUGUUAUGGAUGAAUCUGGGUUGGGUUUUUGCAUAAACAUGUAAUAUCUGUUCUGUUCUGUUAUGGGCCUAUGGGCUUUAUUCUGAAUUCUGUUCUGGGCUAAGGCCAACUUAUUCUAUUUCUGUGGUUUGAGCUGAUAUAGGCUAUGGUUGGGUUAAUUUACACACUGAGUUUCCCCAAACUCACCCCUUUUAUUUUCAUCCACGCAGGUAAUCCCCAACCAUAGUGGGCUUGGAGCUGUGAGGGAAUUCGGAGUGGUCACCCGUUCUGAAAGUUUGAUUUUCUUCUGGUGAACUG